AGUCCCUGUCUCAGUGGUACAGUGUUUCCCCACCAUGCACAAGGCCCUGGGUUCAAUCCCCAGCACUG
This 68-nucleotide transfer RNA is filed under the name Marmota monax (woodchuck). RNAcentral's name for it is "tRNA.Gly". Lineage: Eukaryota; Metazoa; Chordata; Mammalia; Rodentia; Sciuridae. The record is from RNAcentral.